RNAcentral lists this ribosomal RNA (273 nucleotides) under Salmonella enterica subsp. enterica serovar Infantis. RNAcentral's name for it is "partial 23S ribosomal RNA". It matches the Rfam family "Bacterial large subunit ribosomal RNA", at positions 2064 to 2336 of the family's 2925-position model. The record is from RNAcentral. RNAcentral also lists the same sequence under 1 other name. Lineage: Bacteria; Pseudomonadati; Pseudomonadota; Gammaproteobacteria; Enterobacterales; Enterobacteriaceae.
GUGUACCCGCGGCAAGACGGAAAGACCCCGUGAACCUUUACUAUAGCUUGACACUGAACAUUGAGCCUUGAUGUGUAGGAUAGGUGGGAGGCUUUGAAGCGUGGACGCCAGUCUGCGUGGAGCCGACCUUGAAAUACCACCCUUUAAUGUUUGAUGUUCUAACGUGGACCCGUGAUCCGGGUUGCGGACAGUGUCUGGUGGGUAGUUUGACUGGGGCGGUCUCCUCCUAAAGAGUAACGGAGGAGCACGAAGGUUGGCUAAUCCUGGUCGGAC